CGACGUGAUAGUCUCUAUUGUACAAGAAAUAGGUUAAGUGAAAGAAUUUAACGUAUUAAUAAUAUAUUUGAAAGCAUAUUUAGAAUCUUAUGUCUAGGAAGCUACGCGUCUCGUCGUCUCUGACUCUCGGACGAAACUGCUCAAUGUCUUCAACCGAGGUUUUGAGGGUAUGGCCCUACAACAAAGUAAAUGUACCAUCAUUAAAUCACUAAGUCACUAUCUACCUAAAUCACUAAGUCAGUAUCUACCUAAAUCACUAAAUCACUAAAUCUACCUAAAUCACUUAAGUCAACUAAUCACUAAGUCACUUAACAUAGAAAAAUAAGGCAAUUGACUUACCAAUCUAUCCAAGAUUGGUCCUGCCUCCACUUGCCUUCCUACACAAGUACUUCGGUCGUAUGUCGUGUCUUCAUCGUCG
RNAcentral lists this long non-coding RNA (418 nucleotides) under Setaria italica (foxtail millet). RNAcentral describes it as "long non-coding RNA (SITA_LNC006298)". Lineage: Eukaryota; Viridiplantae; Streptophyta; Magnoliopsida; Poales; Poaceae. The record is from RNAcentral.